CCAAACCAAAACAACACAAGAUUUAAGGCCUUGUACUCUUGUCAAGUAGGUUUCUGGGAAGGAUGUUAAUAUUAGUUUAAAUUAUUUCAUGGAUCCUGAGACAUGUUUGUAUUUGAACAGGCAGCCUGUGGUAUCUGCUAAAAAUGUUAGUUUCCUUUCCAAGUGCUUCCACAAAUAAAGUCUAUUCUUAGUUCCAGGGUAAUAUAAAAUUAGGCUACAGGCUAGACUGGGGGAGGGACUAGUUUGCAGAUCUUUUGUCCCCUGGGAGAGAAGAGGAGAGGUAGUCACUAAAAGAGUGCUGAGGGGAGCACAUUCACUUUGUGUUUAAGAUCACUGUGAUCCAAGGGAGUGUAUUAGAAUUGAACAAAUUCAGAAGCAUUUGAUAGUUUAAGCGUGAGAGAAAGACUGAGCUGAAUCAGAAGCGAGGAGACUAGAGGUUGAGAAGAACACUUUAAAGAAACUGGUGACCUUGGGCACUGAGUCUUUGGGAGGCAGAGUAGGACAGGUGCUGGCCUGUGCUUUUCACAUUUGGAACUUGGGCGUAGGUCAUGCAAGGCAUGUUUAAUGGGCUGUUGUAUGUAUGAGUUCUACUGUAUCCUGAAAGCACACCUGAAGAGACCCAAGCAGAUCGCUGGUGGUUUCGCUGGCUUAGUUUUGUUUCCUGUUGUUGUGAUAAAAUAUCCCGACAAAGGGACCUUUACUGAGAAAGGGCUUGAUUGGUUCACAGUUCUGCAUUACAGUCCAUCAUUGCAGAGAAGGCAAGGCCAGGAUUGAAGCAGCUUGCCACAUCCAUGGUUAAGAGCAGAGAGAAAGGACGCACACGAGUUUGCAUUCGGCCCACAUGUUCCUUUGCAUAGUCCAGGACCCAAACCCAGGGAAAGAUGCUGCCCACCUUUAGGCUCACAUCAAUCAGUUAACAAAAUCAAAAGGACCUCCCACAGGCAAGCUCUCAGAUGAACCUGAUCUAGACAGUUCCUCACUAAGACUGUCUUCCCAGGUAGUUUUAGAUUGUGUCAAGUAGACAAAAUGAACUAUCACCCGUGUCAUUUGAAGAUGUGAUAGUUUGCAUAUGCUAGGCCCAGGGAGUGGCACUAGUAGGAGGUGUGGCCCUGUUAGAGUAGGUGUGCCACUGUGGGUGUGGGCUUUAAGACCUUCAUUUUAGCUGCCUGGAAGCCAGUAUUCUGCUAGCAGCCUUCAGAUGAAGAUGUAGAACUCUCCGCUCCUCCUGCACCAUGCCUGCCUGGAUGCUGCCAUGUUCUAGCCUUGAUGAUAAUGGACUGAACCUCUGAAUCUGCUCUGGCUGACUCUGCUCCACGGCUGCUGGUCUUCUUGACGGCCAUCCCAUGGCACCGGCAUCUUUGAAAUCUGGGGUCUUCUGCUGCAACUGGGCUGCACGUUUACUCACAGCCUCUCAUAGGCUCUCUUCAUGGUACCAAUCCGCAACGUUUUUAUUUGCAUGACUCCUUCAGUCCUGGCCCUUCGUGGGAGACCAAACUUUGGAAAAACAGAUUCAACAGCUCUCACCUUGAGCAUUCACUGACCUUGCAGUUUACAGCUGAACCACCCCUUUCUUCACACAAGGCUGAUCAACUGGUUCUCAUCCUGGCCAAACACCUGGGGUUGUCUGUGCGGAACCAGCAUUUCAGGAAAACUGCAGAUGCUUCGAGCCGGAGUCAACAUCUGUCCCGGAUGACCUUUCCUCUUUCUGUGCUUUUAGCAUUCCCCUCAGCCCCUCCCUACUUCCUCUUACACGGAGUGUUCAAAACCAGGCGUUUUGCUUUUCAUUAAAGAGGCUUUGACAAGA
Apodemus sylvaticus (European woodmouse) is the source of this 1804-nucleotide long non-coding RNA. RefSeq lists it as uncharacterized. Lineage: Eukaryota; Metazoa; Chordata; Mammalia; Rodentia; Muridae. The transcript is spliced from 2 exons. The record is from RefSeq and is a predicted model, not a curated record.